Molecule: long non-coding RNA, 3154 nt
Filed under: Suricata suricatta (meerkat)
Lineage: Eukaryota; Metazoa; Chordata; Mammalia; Carnivora; Herpestidae
Description: lncRNA (ENSSSUG00005011723.1)
Source: RNAcentral
GGCCUGCUGGCUGCGAGGCCGACCCGAGACAGUUGUGCUGAUGAAGUGGUGGAGCUGGUUCCUGCUCGCCGCCGUGCCGCGCGCGCCGGCCAGCCUCUGGGCGCUCCGCGCUCCCAGCUCGGAGUUGUGCAAUCCUUUGUAGCACGCCAGAGUCCUCCUCCUUCGCUGUUGCCUCUCGCUCGCGCUCGCGCUCUCUCUCUCUCUCUCUCUCUCUCUCGCUCUCUCUCUCUCUCUCUCUCUCUCUCCCCCCCCCUCUUUUUUUUUUUUUCCAAGCUGUGAGCUCAACCGAUGAGUCAGAGCAGUGCAAUCCUGACACUGCAUCGCAGGACUGGGGGUGACACGGAGGGAGGGAGAGCGAUCGCGAGGCAGACACCGCGGGAGCGGGGUGCGCCGAGGUUCCUGCGACGUGAGCGAGGGGUGACAGCCCGCGCGUCCCGCCCGGGCCCUGCCAGCAAACUUCCCAGCCUUGGGAGGCGCUGGCUGGCGGAAGCCCUGCGAGCGCCGCGGGGAGGCGGCGGCGCCUGUUUGUUUUUAAAAUCCGGGAGUGCGUGCAGGCGGCUGGAGCCUGGGAGGCGACCGAAGGCGGCGGCCCGCGGCGGAAGGGGAACAGCCGAUGCUGGAGCCCGGGCAAGAGCCGGGUAGUCAGGUGGCUUCAGGACUAAGGGGAAAGCGAGAAACCUUCCCAGGUUGAGAAUUUAUGGGUCUUUUACCUACUGCUCUGGACAGUGAAUAAUAGGGGUGUAAACGUUCAAUUACUGUUAUAAACCAGCUCACCGCAUGACCCUGGCCCAGUCUUCGUUCUAAUUGGAUCGGCCUCUGGAUGGUUACUCUGGUCUGAGUAACUCCUAGGGGACAAGACGGUGAAGACCCUAGAGGGUCCCUCCAUCCCCGCACCCCCCCCCCCCAUACAGCUUGCUUUGGGACAGUCUGCCCACUGCCAGGGUGGCUUUUCCAAGUGCCAGGCAGAACUCUCACCCUAUGCUAGGAAAGGGUGCCCUGGAAUGCCCAUGGGACGAGAAUUCAACUUUUAAAUGUGGGGUUUAAAAAUAACUCAAUUGUUUAGCCUUAUGGACUGCUGCUUGUAAUAAAUGGGGGAAAAAAGAAAAAGGAAAAUAGGCACUUACAAAUUCAGUUAAGGGCUUCCUUCCCAUGGCUGCCGAAUCCAGGGAAGGGCUGCCCAGUAGAGCCAGAAGAGGAGUGGGGUGGGAGGGAGUAUGGGGGAAGCACAUGGAGAACAGUGUCUUGGAAGGGGAAUGGGCCCAGUCUAGGAAUCUGGCCAUGAUAGCGCCUCUCCUGCUGUUGGGUGUCCCAGAAGGAAACUGUUUACUGUGGAGUAGGGAUGGCCGAAAGUAGCUGGGAGAUUCCUGCUGAUCCUUCGAGGCCUAUUUCAAAUGCCGCUUCUUUUGUGAUGUCUCAGCCUUCUUCUGAACACUCAUUUCCACCUUACGUAGUCAUUUGUAUACAUGUUGUGCUGUGGUGCUCAAAACAUAAACUCAGAGAUAGUGUCUGUUCCUCCUUCGAACAGCUGCAGUGAGGAUUCUGAAAUGCAGAAAGUACAUUUCAGGAUCACCCUAGCCUCUGCUCUAGUGUGUGCUCCGUGUUGUUCUCACAGUGCUUGGCUUCUAGUGGGUGUUUAGUGUAUGUUAGUCGAACAAAUGAAUGAAAGAUCUCCAUCAAGAAAAGGUGGACUUGCAUGAGGUGGGUGCAGGGGGUCCUGCUACUGUGACUCAUCGUGCACCUUUGGUUUCAAAAGGGUUAGUCCAUGAGUGAGUGAUUUAGGUGCUGGUGAGCUCAGUUUUUUGGCCCUGUCCUACAGCUGGUCUUUGGCAGACAGAUUGUGUCUGGUCAUUCUGACCCCAGUGGGAACUCAGGGUGAAAGAGUGAAGCCUUCUGCCUGGCAAUCUGCUAACCUGGGUAUUUCCUUUGACCACGUCUGGCACCUGUGUGUGUAUUACGAUGGAGGAGUUGCUCCCACACAGUAGAGACUGCCUGUGUGGGGCUGAACUAAAUAAACUGUACGCAGGUCUGGAGCUAGGUGGAGUGUGCUGAAAUCCCGGCUUCUUACUUAAGGGAGCUACAUUUGCAUUCGAAGCAACAUUCAGGAUACCCUGAGACUGAGCUCAUUUUAUGAAUCAGAAGCAUUACAGCAUCAUUUUGUGUUGGAAACUUCUGUUUGGAAUCCAGAUCACCCUCCCUCCACCCCAACACAUGCACACUUCUAGGGGUGCUCACAGUCACACACUUGGGAGUGAUGACAGUUAGUGGGGCAUCAGUUCAGAUUCCAGAGCCAUCAGGCAAAGCUUGUCCACACCCACUUCUGCCCCCAUACUCAGAACACCAUUCCUGGAUGGUGUGGGGACAGUAACCCAGGCAGUGACUGUGAAGGAAGCCUGGCAAGUGCACAGGAAUGAGGACUGGUCAGAUGUGGGUUCCUACUCCAGCUUCUUUACUUCCUGUGUAGCUUUGGGCAUUGCUUAAUUUCCUGAGCCUCAGUUUCCUCACGUGUAAAAUGAGGGUGAUAAUAGGGUUGCUGUGAAGGUUAAACAAGAUCAUGCAUGCAAAGUGCCUGGCACACAGUAGGUACUCAACAGAUGAUGGCUAUCAUUUCACUGUUUCCCCCAAGUCCAGCUGUUUGCCUUUUGCUCCUCCCAGGGAAGAGGAAAUGAAGUCUGUCCUGCCUGUGGUAGGAGGGCCCUCCUCCAGCGCACUGGGGUUUGUGUGAAUGAAACUCGUUUUGUAAGUCCCUAGGCCGUGGGUAUAGCUGUGUGAUCCUUGCCCACCUAGACCGGCCCAGGUCCUGGUGCCUGAGUGUUUUUGCAAGGGAUUCCGUCCCUGCAGCCCAGGGUUAAGGGCUCAGCUUCCCAGAGAUCAGAUGGUGCUCUCGGGAACCUACCCGCCCAGGCCUCAGGCUGAACUGCUCACGUGGGUGGGAGGAAGGCUGCUUUCUCAGCCCAGGAAAAAGUCCCCUUGUCUUUGCUUCACCUGAAGCCUCCCAGUGUGACCUCAGUGGAGGUUUGGGUGGAGCUGAGGGUGGGAGUUGUCCUUCUAAAGAGCGCUUUGGCUCUUUCACCAAUUGAAAUAGCAGGGGUGGAGGUGGGGGGGGGAGACACCAACAUAUUAUAUAAGAAGAAAGUUGCCACAUGUCAAGAAGGAG